Molecule: small RNA, 4114 nt
Filed under: Nilaparvata lugens (brown planthopper)
Lineage: Eukaryota; Metazoa; Arthropoda; Insecta; Hemiptera; Delphacidae
Description: uncharacterized LOC111062145, transcript variant X3
Source: RNAcentral
UCCUAUCUCUCCAAUGUUAAAUUUUUGGUUCAAGUGAUACAGAAUGACGUCAGGGUGAUACAGAGAUACAGAACGGCGUCCAUCUUUGAUUUGAUACAGAUAUUAUCAUCUCUACAGAGGAUGAAAUCCAUAAAUAAAUAUUAUUUGAAUAAUUCUCUAUUAUAUCAGUGUUUAAUGAUAUUUAGAUAGUUUUUAAUAUUGGUUUCAAUUGACCUACAGAUUUUUUGGUUAUUUUUUUUUUUUGACUGAAAAUUGUACUCAACUCAAAAUGAAUUGAGGUUAUGAAAAUAUUAACCAUCGAUAACCAAUUUUUGGAAUUUUUAGUCUGAAUCUAAAUUUAAAAGAGGAAUAGGACAGUUUUUAUCUCAUCUCUCCGAUCAUUUUGAUUUAAAUUAUAUGUGGAAAUAAUUAAAGAAUGAAACUGUUAAUUUGGUAAACAGAUACAGGAAUUUGGAGUUGCUUGGUAUGGAUUGUAAGACACAGAAGAAGACGCAUUUAGAUGUUUUUGGAUCUUGAAUCUUGAUGCUCACAGAAAAGCAAGUCAACCAGACAGGCUCUGAAAAUUGAUGAAAUGGAACAAAUUAUUUGGACAAGACACUAGAAAAAUUCUACUCGGUCGGUUUUGAAAUCAUACCUCAAGAAACUUGCGGGAUCUUCGUCUGCACUGCACUAGCAUUUUAGGGUUUGUUGGAGGCGAACGACAUCCACAACAAUGGGAUAGCGGGGUUCGGGCGCCAACCCGACAGUGACAGUGGUGCACUGCGAGAUCCACCACGGACAGACGGGUGGCUUGUACGGGCUCGGCCAGUUCAUCGACAACCGCAUCCAUUCCCACAGCAACCCCACCGCAACGAGAUCUACAACGGCCAUCAGGGUGGCGUCUUCAUCUUGGGCGAAGGCCGCGGCUUGAUCGAGCAUAACAAUAUCUAUGUGACUCAAUGUGGAUUGUGAAGACACAGAAGGGGACGCAUUUGGAUCUUGAAUCAUGAAUGUUGAAUCUUGAUGCUCACAGAAAAGGAAGUCAACCAGACAGUCGUCGCCGCCGCACCACGAUCACUCGGCGGCAUCCACAUCUAGUGGUGGUGGAUCUACAUGCAAGGAGCAUGCGCACUACCACUGGAUGUGGAUGCUGGAUGAGUUGGGCAACCUCGGCCGCUCCAGUACCAACUGCCCGACCAGGUGUUGCUAACCAUAUUCGGCUACUUGCUGUCGGUUUCAGGGCAUCAGCUCUGUUGGGGCAAACUGAGCCGCUUCGGCGAGCGGGCCAAUAAUUUCAACAUUGUUUCAAUUCCAAGUUGAUUGUUUUGAAUUAAUAUAGUCUACUGUUACAGAGAGACUAUGCCUUUUGAAAAUAUAAACGGUUACCUGAUAAGUACCUUAAUGUGUGUUAUGAAAUAUGAUUGAUAUCCAACUAUUUAAUAAAUUUCUCAAUUUGAAAGAUUCAAAUAAUGAUAUUAUUUCGAUUAUUUACUUGCUCACCAAGUGCAGUUUUCUCGGUGAAAGCUUAAACCGAAUUGGAUCAGCUGGUGUGUUUUAAUAUCAAUUAAACUUAACAUGGAUUUAAUUCAUAUUAAGCCGACAUUUGGUUCAAACUGGUACUGUGAAAACGGCUUUUAAAUCGUUAGAAUUAUUCAAGUAAUUAGUAUGGUGAUUAUUAUCAUAGAAAAAAGAUAUCAUAAGAAGAUAACCCUAUGGUAUAGAUUGUUUAUGUUUCAUUGUGCGUUUUAAAACAGUAAAGAAAAAAGUAUCUCAGGUUUGGCUGAAAUUUGCACCAUAGAUGAAGCUUUAUCUGAGAAAUGUCUGAGCCAAAUUUGGCACCCCCAGCUACUAUACAGGGUGAGUUAUGCAGCUUCAAACGUAAAAUUUGCAAAUUUUCAAACGGUGAGGAAUUUUGCAAAUCGGAUUCCAGAUUCAUGUUCCUCUCAUCAAAGAGCAUAAGGUCACGAAGUUAGAGCGAUUUUGAUUUUUCACAAAAAAAUUAGAUAAACCAUGGAUUUUAUGAAAAAUGCGAAUGUGCCAGAUUCGGUUGAUAUUCGAACUAUGGAAAGAGGUUGACUCAAUAGUGAUAGAUAAAUGUCUUUUAUUUUCAUUUUAUAACAUUACAAAUGAUGUGGGCGAAGUUGAGGCAAUAAGAGCCCCCCUCUUCCACUUGACCCACAAGUAUGGGUCUGUUUGUGUAAAUGGCAGAAGAUAAGAAAAGAUUCAUUGAACAAUUGACAAGUUUACUUGAUAGAAUACUUGACAAUUAUAUAGUCUAAAAUAAGAACUUAGUCAAAAAUAACAGAUUAAACUAGCUGACGUACAAACAACUCUAAAGUAAUUUUUCACUAAGUUACCAAGAGGGAUUAUUAACUAUGGAAUGAGAAAGAAAUCAAUAAAAAUGCUUACUUUCUUAAUCAGAUUUAUUAUAGUUUUUAGUAUAAAAGAUUUUUUUUCAAAGAGCAAAGAAUAAAGAGUUAACCUGAUUUCAAAAACUCAGUCCAAGUAAACUGAAGAUCAGUAGUAAAUUAUACAAGAAAAUUUACAAUAAUCAAAAAUAUAAUAGCUGUAAAUUCUGCUCAAAAUAAGAUCUAGUUGCACGAAAUUUGUUUAAUAACUGAUUAAAUUAUUAGAUUUUUCUGUAUUAGCUGUUAUGCUACUAUAGCGGUGACUGAGGACUCUAUAGAUUUGUUUCUUCAAGUAUUUCAGAAGAAGUUGCUGUUGUGGGCUGUACAGCUCGCUUUCCUGAUAGAUUUUCCUUUGAGAAUCUGAUCUGUUUCAUUUUCAUGAUGGCCUAUGGGCUAUGUGAGAUAAUGGGUUGAUGUUCCAGUAAUUUAACCAUAACUAUUGAACGGUUCAUCAGAGCCUUAUUUUGUAGCAAACGUUGUUGUAUAAUAUAACAUUUUUCUCAUCAUCAUAUACCGUAGUUGAAAAUUUUGUCACUGCAAUUAAUAAAAUCAAACUGAGAGAUUUAAUGCUUCAAAAAAAAAGCAGGACCGCAUCUCUAGUAGAAUUUUCCCUAGUUUUUAUAUCUCUAACUUUUGUUAGCUUCAUAGUAGCUUUGUACGCAUGAGGACCUUUUUUGUAUAAUAUCAAAUUGACUGUUGAGUAACAAGUUCUAAUUACUAACUAAAGUCAAGAGUAAAGAGCUAUUUUAUAGCUUCAAAGAAAAAUUUGAAUCAUAUUCUCAAUGUAGCCUAUUCCUUAGCAAUGUUACCUCAAUAACUUACUUUUGAAAGACUUCUUGUUGAAUAUUUUAGAAAUAUUUCAAGCCAGAACAAGUGAAUAACUUUUCUCCAUUUAUUUCGAUUUUCAAUAUAAUAAUUAUAUACCGUAGUUAGUAGGUAGCUUUUGAAUUUGCCGGUUGAUAACCUAGUUUGAAUUUGCCGGUGAGCCAUCUUGAUAAUGAUGUUUCAAAACCUUUUGAAGAAUGAAGAGUGAAUCUUUUUAUGAAUCAUUCUUUCAAACGUAAUCAAGACAUCAAUCUAUAGUUAUAAAAUUCCUUAUCUAUAAAAAAUCAUUUGAGAACCAUUGAAUGUCGAUAUUUUCUCCAAAUGCAUCAAUCAGAAGUACUUAUAUAUAUUCCCAACUUUUCAAUGAAUAAUGGUAUAAAUCAACUAGAGAAUAUAUUUGAAACUUUUAAAAUCAUCAUUUGAAUAUCAUAAUUCUAUUUUGAUGAUAGAUAUACUUAAUUAUUUUCUAUUAUUUUUUUGCGUUGUGUAGUGGUACGGCUGGCUACCUGCUGUUCAAGCUAAUCAGCUGUUUGAUGCUCAUUAUUUUUUCAACUAUGAAUUGCGUUAAUAGUGCUUCCAAUAAACAGGAUAAUUUGAUACAUCAGAGAAAUAAUUUAAAUAUUCUAUUUGAACGUAUCAAUUGUUAAUACUUAAUUAUUUUUUCAUUAUUAUUUUGCGGUGUGUAGUGGUACAGCUGGUUACCAAAAUCCGUCUCCAUCGAGUUGCUUGGUAUGGAUUGUAAGACACAGAAGAAGACGCAUUUAGAUGUUUUUGGAUCUUGAAUCUUGAUGCUCACAGAAAAGCAAGUCAACCAGACAGGCUCUGAAAAUUGAUGAAAUGGAACAAAUUAUUUGGACAAGACACUAGAAAAAUUCUACUCGGUCGGUUUUGAAAUCAUACCU